CACUGCGUAGUUGGGAAAAGUGGGGAAUGGUGACGCAGUCACUGUUGCAUCUGGUUAGGAGCUCUAUGGGGACAGGUAGUGAGGUUCCUGGGGUCUCUGUGGCCAGCUGAGAGGGGUUAAGGAUGAGCUAAGAAGGGAAGCUAGCAUUUAGAGAUUAAAUGUCAUCCUUUUGGCGUUGGAAAGUUGUUUACCUUGCGCUCUCUGUGUCUCCAUGUUGGCUCCCUUCCAGUUCACAUGUGAUGGCCUUCCCUGUACUGCUGCAUCAUUAACUAAGUGACUGAGCUGGCCUUCCAUUGGCCAGGGGAGGGCUCUCCCUCCAGACACUUCCUCUGAUUGGUGGGUGGGCCAAUGGCAGGUGAAAAGCUUUUUUUGAUUGGCUCAGGGCAGGGUAUCAAAUCUGAAUUUGCAUUUCACUUGCUUAAAGGGGAGCGGGGAGAAGCCCAGCAGCUUUCUAAAAUCUCUUUAGGGGUGUGCGUAGGCUCCUGUGUCUAUGUCUGCUUUUGACUGCCCAGUUGAAGCCUCUUCCUAUGCCUUUUAAAAUUUCACGCACUAUAAGGAGGAAGAGCUCAGGGCUCCCAAAACUUUUUAUUUAGAGGGAAGAAUGCUAGGGAGAUGGGUAUGCAGAGGGUUGACCAAACUGGAAGAAAAUAUUUAUUCUGUAGUUUGGUGUUGGAAAAGGGAAUUUUCCAAUCAGCCACACCUCAGUGUUGCGGCAAAAUAAUUCUUGGCUCCCCUGGAAACGCAUGGGCAAGGUAGGGCAGAGCUGCUGCUGCUGAUACUGCCACCACCCUGGGCUUCCUGCUGACUCUGGGCUACUCCCUGGGGACAACAGAUUUGCAUUGACGUCCGGGGCUGUCCAGAGGCCCUCAAGAGCCAGUCGUGAGCUGAGCCCAGUAUGGGAAAGAUCUACCUUCUGGAAGCUACUACUACGUGGUGCUUGGAAAGAGGACUCAGAAGAGUGCAGCUUGCUCUGUGAGUGGGUGACAACCUCUUGGCGACUCAGGCUCAGCUGAGGAUGGUGCCAGUGUGCCGGAGACAGCCGUCAUACUGCCGGAUAGAGUGGCUCACUUGCAUGUAUUUGGAACAAAAAAAGGAGAUGCCUGGCAGCCCCACUCUCUGCAGUAAGUAUUCAUCUGCAUUCUUUUACAUUCCUUUAUUUCUUCGAACAUCAGAAAUGGAUAGAUGUUUAUUGAGCCCAGCCACCUGCUAUGCCUUCUCCAUUCUUCUCCCACACACCCCGCCCUUCGUCCUCCAGAAGAGAGGACUAGAUUGAUUUUCUCAUGCUACUGGAUAGCUGCAGAGAAGCUAGAAUUUGCUGUUCAGCCCCCACACAUCCCCCUCACAUUUGGGAGAAGUUGAUUUUCCCUAAAACGGAGCCAACAGCCUGUGUCCCUCAGUGCGGAGUGUUAAUGGGCUGCCUGGAAGGACCCUGUGUGCCCUCACGGCCCCCAGCCGGGAAGUGAGGCUCCCCAUUGGCUGGCAGCGGGAGGAUGGUCCUUGCCAGCACCUAGCAUGGUUCUCUGCCAAGUUCUAGCUCCACAUCUCCAGGCUGGUAGGAACCUAGACUAUAUAUAGCAUUGUGCUAAGCAAUUCUUAUCAGACGUGUCUGCCCUCCCCUGUGGGAGUGGAGCACUUCUAUCAGAGAACCAGAACCUAGAGAGCGUGAGCCAUCUCCAAGGGCCUUUUAUUCUGGGAAGGGGUGUGUGUGUGUGUGUGUGUGUGUGUGUGUGUGUGUGUGUGUCUGUCUGUCUGGUUCAGGGCUGCUUACUUUCCUCCUGUAUUGCAGAUGCUGAUAGAUUGAAAGGUCAUGCUAGAUGAAGGUGCUGAUGUGGGAUGAGGGCCAGGAGGGGCUGAUAACUCUCUGAUGGAUAUUGAGCUUAGAGGGAGAGAAGCUAGGGGCAUGUGACAUGGCUGAAGGUACAGUUGAGCCCUGCCUCCGCUUUCUCUUCCUGGUUUCCUGUUUGCCAUGCUUUGCCUAAGGAUGUCUUUUGACCUCUCUCUUCCUUCUUUCGGACCUCUUGCAUUCCCUGCCUUCCUCCACCACUUCCUCCUACCUUUGAUUUUCUUUAGGAUAUAUGAGGGCAAACACAGUGACUGGCAUCCUGGGUCUGUGUCUACUCUUCAUCCUUACCCAUUUGGGGUUUCUGGAGAUCUGGCUCCAGUUAGGCAGAGAGGGCUCAGCUGUCCUCUGGAGGAGUUUUGGUGGUGGGUGAGCAUGUUGAGUUGUCUGGUUCAGGGCAGGGUGGGUUGGAUAUUCCCCUCUUUCCUCUCAUAGGUGCUGUUGAGCCACCAAUUUUUGUGGUUUUGUGACCACAAGUGCUGACUGAUGCGACAUGACUCCAGUCUUGUCAGUGAAUCAUCAUCAGGCUGCUUACUGGAAACUGGAUGCAGCAAGGAAAUAGGAUUUAACCGCUCUCUGCCUCCCAGGUAAGUCCAGCAUAGGCUGCUCCCUCCAGCCUUCCCCCCAUCCUCCUUCCUUCCCAUGAACACCAUUUUCCUUAUUCCACCAGGGAAUCCUCAGACGUCUCUAUUCAGAAUCUCCCAAACAAUUGUUCUCUUUUUUGCAUUCUUCUCCUUCUGGCUUUUCUGUGAAUGGGGUUAGCAACCAGCACAGGGUUGGGGGCAGGAUGGGCAGCUGAAGUGGUCGGGCUGUGCGGACGUGUGGGAGAUAGCUGGGUAGUGUUGCUGGGUGUGGCAGUUGGCAGAGCAUUUGGGCCUCCCACAGUAAUAGAAACUCUCUUUGGCUCCAGCAUCCAGCAAGAGGUUCUGGGUUUAACUCCUCGGUAAUCCUUGGAGCCUUCCUGGUGCCUGGGGAUUCUCUCCCCUGUGUAGUCUCAGUGGAUAGCCUGUCUUAACUCUAGGUACAUUUUGCCUUGAGGGGGCUUAGUCUAGGAUGGUGGUCUGGAGUUUGGACUGGACUGAGCAGUGAACUUUGGGACUCUCCCUAAUUUUGGGGUUUCUUUGAAUGAGCCACUUUCUUCCUCUAGGCCUUCAUUGCCUUAAAAAAAAAAAAAUCCCCGGUCCAGUAAGCCAUUGCAAAGCAUCUCUAGGAAGUUGACAAAGAAAUGCUUUUUUUCUGCCUCACUUGUUGCCAAUCACAGUAAUGGCAAUGGUGAUUAAAAAUGAAAAAUGAUGAUGGCCUGCAGAAUCGGGGAGGUCAGUGGCAUCAUUGAUACGAUUCACAAAGCAGACUCUCGGUGCCCGCACAUCACUAGGAAAUCUCUCUCCUAUCGAGUAGAUGACUACAGCAUUCUUGGCCAGUAAAGCCAGUUGGAAUUAGCCAACAGCAGAUUGGUCUGGGCUCUAAAGAUAAAAGGAAUUAUGCUGGGUAAUUUUUGGAGGUACCUAUGGGAUCCUACCUCUGGCCACACAGUGGUCACCUCUUUCUGCUCAUAUGUUUCGGUGGGGAUGGGGGGUUCCUCUUCCCCAUGCUGUUCCCGUUGCUAUCCAGGGAAGACUGGCCAAUUCUGCUUCCUGUUAUUUCUUCUUCUCCUCUAUCCGUUUGAGAUGAGUCUCUAGGUUGGCUGUGAACAGCCUGAGGAAUCCAGGGCUGUUUGGAAGAAUCUGGUGUCUCUUCCUUCAAGGACCCUGACAGGUCUCAGCCCUCCAGCAGUACUACAGUGAGGGAUGGCAGGGGGUGUUGGAGUGGAGAGAUAUCGACUUGGGUGCAGCUGGGGAGACUUAAGAGGAGCGAGCCAAGUCCCUCAAGAAGUGUUGGCUAGAGUCUCGCCAGCCCUGGCUGUAGGGCUGGAGCCAGACAUAGCUGCUGGCUGUGCUUGGGAGUCUCAGCCCUCAUAUGUGCCGUGCAUCCCUGGGCAUAGCUCUUUGUGACCCCAUUCCCACGAAUAGCCCUGUCCUUGGUUAGAUUGGGAAAACCAGAGUGGGAAGUAAAGGGGAGGUUGGUUUUGCUCCUGGUCAUGCAGUUAUCUCUGUGGCCUCUGAUGUUUCCAGAAUUGGGAUUGGUGCUUCCCUGCUGAUUUUCCUAUUUUUGUCCCUCAUCUGGUUCUUUUCCUCCUUGCUCACCAGUCUGGGUUCUACACACAUGACAUGGGGCAUUGUGUGUUCCCAAUGAGGAUAGCAGAACAGUUGGUAUCUCCUGAGAGAGGGGCCAGCGUAUCUGGCACUUUUUUCUUGAACCUUUGAAUUUCUGAGGUCUGGGAAUCAGGAGGCAGCAUGGGGACUCUCCAUCCAGGAUCCAGCAGAGGUUAACAGAGCUGGUGGCUCUGGAGCUGAGGUGGUGUGGCUUGGCUGGGAGUUGUGGGGGAGAGGCCCUGCCAGGGGCCCUGAUUGGUCAGUACCUUCUCUAUUCCAUUGAAUCCUGGUCCAGUCAGCUCUGUGAAUUGUUUAAUGCAUAUCUUGGCUCUGUCCCCUGGCUCGAGUGUCCCUAAGGCUGCAGCCACAGCUUUAGAGAAGAUCUGUACCUUGUGCUGGUCACUUUUUUGGGCGUGUUACCUCCCUCUGAGAUAUGUAAGAGAUACCACCCUUUCCCACCAGCCUGCUGUCUGUGGGAGGCCCUCAUUUUGCUUUGCUUUUCUGAGACUUGGAGUGGCUGUGAGGAAAGCAUGGACUGAGUUUGCUGUCUUGCUGGCUCCUUCCACAAGAGCUGCUCAUGGGCUGAUAAAGCCAGAGAACACCUCCAGGGCCCCAUGGCCUGUGCGGAGCCUGGUACCAUAGUGUAUGUCAAGACUGUGGGGAUGGACUGGGGACAUGGGGGCAGAUAGAGCCACGUGGGGAGGUGGUAUGUGUGGUUAGAUCACAGGAGCAAGUCCAGGAGGGUGUGGGAGGACAAGUCCAGUGCUCAGUCAGGGCUGCCUGUCAUGGCCCAGGAUGGAUGUGUGCAUCUCCUGUGAAGGAUUAGCAUCUGAGUGCCUGGUACUGAAGGUAGGAUGGUGCCCCGAUCAGAGUCUAUAAUGAGGCAUGAAGGUAUGAGAUGGGCAUCAGAGUUGUUGGUCCAAGGGAAACUGACCUUUUUUAAGGGCCCUCCUCUCCUUAUCUGAUUUCAUCCUCAGAACAACCAUAUGACAUAGGGGUCACUUCCGUUUUAUAGUUAAAGAAACAGAUUAAGCGACUUAACCCAAGAUUUUGGUAAGUGAGGUUGUUGAGAUUUAAAUGCAUGCACUUCUUAUUCCAAAGCCUCUACGUUAUCUUUACUCUUUUGGGCUGAAGUCAGACAUUUUUGUGAACUAAGAUUCUCAGAGGACUGAUGUGAACCAGAGUGAAAAGGCAGACACCCAAAGGAACUUUCCAGUCACUGGGGACAGUUGUGCCGCAUUCCUUUUGGGGGAGGCAGGGCAGACGCAAAUGCCCUUUGGUAGCCAUGGACAGGCAGAGCUGAGUAAGGCCAGUACAUGGCAUCUGCUGCUGUGUACGGAGCCUCUGCUGUAUGCCAGGGACUGUGCCAGGCGCUAGAGAUACAGAACUCAACAAAGCCAACUCUCCACUUUCAUGGGGCAUACAUUCUAGUGUGGAGAGACACCACUAAUAAUGAUUUUUAAAAAUAAUUCAAAAAUAUACAGGAUAGACAUAUAUGGAGAUUGUGUGGGGAUGAAAAGGGGGACCCCCCACACACAUAAGGAGGAGAAUCCAGAUGAUGGCCAGAGGGAUCUAGAGACUUAGGACCUCAGCCACCUGAAGCCACAUCAAUUGAGCUUUCCUUCAUGGAGUUAGGACUGACACAAACUAACCCCCUCUUUUUUCCUAAUAACUUGGGAAAUCCAUCCAAGGCCCCCAUAGCUUACAGGAACUUGUCGUGAGUCAGGGAUCAAGGUGGAGUAGAUGUCAAGCCUUUGGUCUCCAGCAAACCAGUUCUCUCCUGUCUGCCACAGUUGCCGUUGGCCUUCUGCCUCACACCCUCCCAAGCACCAGCUGACUUCUUUCCUCAGCCUGGUCACUGUGCCCCAUACUUGUCCAUGCAGCACAGGGAAACGUGCAGGUUAGGUCUUUGCCGAGCCACUGGUCGAAUGUUUCUGCAGAAGGCUGGUUCUGAACUCAGCCUGUCCUGCCAGAACGAGCCGUUCCCAGAGCUAAUCGUCUCACGAUAGGGAAGUGAUGGGCACCAGGCAUAGAGAAGUGACCUGUGCCAGAUGCUUGGUUGAGCUGUGUCUUGAGAGGCAGAGGCAGGUUGGUGGUGCUGGGGACAAGGCAGGCAUGUGUCAUGUGUUCAGCGCAUGUAGCUCCAGGGCUCAGGACUUGUUUACUUGGUGGAAGAGGCAGCGGACCUGCGGAGUCAGGCCAUGUGAUUCUUCGCUCCUUGGCUGAUCAUGGACAGCUGACCCGCCGGACUGCACACACUGCCAUCUGCUGCCAGGGGUCUGAAGUUGCACAGGGAUGAGAUAGUGUAGUUGGGGGUGGUCAGGGAGGAGGAGGGUCAGGAAAGUGGGGUUUGUGUUGCUCUGUCUUGAGGAGUCAGCCGACCUCGAUUCUGGUCCUAGCUCUUGUUGGUAAAAACUCACUCACUUUCCUCCUUUCAGCUCCAGUUUCAUUAUCUAUGAAAUGAGGGGAUGGAACCAGAAUCUCUUUGGAGGUUCCAGCUCUAUCCUGGGGCCUCCCUGAAUGUUCAUGGAGAUGUUCCUCAGCCAAUAAUUCAAGGUGAGGAAAACUAGGCCCAGGUUUCCACAACAGAAGGGGAGGGAUCCUGAUGACCUGUCUCAGAGCAGCUGAAGAGGUACUGUCAGAAUUAGGGUGGGUGGGUGGGAGGAGGUAGUUUUUAAAGAGCCUCCCAGAAGUGGAAGCAGAGGACUGGAGGUUUCGCGAAGGUUUUGAUGAGGAUCCACCAGGUGGUAGGGGACAUGGCUACGGGCUUCCCCCAGGAGGCUUGUUGGAGAUGGGGUUAUGUGGGAGCUGCUGGGGGGGCCUGCUGUCCUGCAAGGGGCUGACCCAAGGGACCCUGCUCUAGGAAAGAUGCUCCGUCCUGUCUGGCCCUAAACCCUGGAGAGAGAAUGCAGCUGUGGAUUGAGGGAGAGUCUGUGACCCUUGCUGUCAGGAAGUUUUCCUUUAUAUUUAGCCUUCUCUUUUCAUGUGUUUUUUGAGGCCCUCGACUAAAAAAUUAAAUUUUAAAAAAUAACAAUGAAAAAAUAAAAAAUAAACAAAAAUAUCUCAGAGCCACUGGUUCCAUUUUGGCUUUGUAGUCUUGAGUCACUCUUAAAAAGAUAGCAAAAUAAAACACAUGCAGGAAAGCCGAAGGUCCCAGGCCCAGCCAGACGGGGGCUAGGAGUGGCUGGGACUCUGGCCUAGCCUCUCCAUGGCAGCGUUAGUCCCAGACAUACACCACUUCUGCAAGGCUGUGUGGGUAGGAGGCCCUGGGGCUGAGGGGGCACAUUGUGCAAUCUGCUAAGCAGAAUGUAGAGUUUUAAAAUAGCUACAUUUCUCCAAGACACUAUCUGCUUGCCGCUUUGUGGGGUGUUUACCUGGGAUUAAUAAUAGCUGAGUGCCACCCCACUGCCAGUAUGGAAUAGCAAACAACAAUCUGGGCUAGGACUCAGGCAGGAGAGGAAUGGAGUAAUAACCAUCGUAUCAGGUCACAUAGUUCUUUUCACACUUGCUGGCUCAUUUGGUCCUCACACAACCCUGAAAGGGUAGGUGGUCUUAUCCUUGUCGUUGGUAAAACUGAACCAGAGAGUCAGUCCUGCCAAAAUCUGACUGCUUAUAGCUGCUUCUCGUGGGUCUCCCAUCCAGGUCCUCUGACUUCAGCUGUCGUUUCUCUGGGUUCUGACUAGUGGGGCGGGGACAGAAGUAGGGGAGUGGAGUCUUUGGCAGUUUCCUUAAUUUCUGAAGGCCUUAGAGGGCCUAGAGAUGCCUUUUCUAUGUGUUGAAUGGGCAACAAAACCUCAGCAUGUCCAGGUUCUCCAACUCUCUGAUGCUUCAGACUUCUUGGAGCUCUUCUGAGAACUGGCUUGCACUUCUUGGCUGGGAAGCCAGCCACUCACCAUGUGUUCUUGGAGCGGUUUCCUGCAUUUGGAAGCUUCUGGAAUAUGUGAUGCAUCAAACCACUGUGACACAUCUGUAUGGCACCUCACGCGUAUGCACACAGGCAUGCUUCUGCUGAGUGCAGCUCACUUAGAGAUGAGGCCCAGUGUAGGGUCUUUGAAAUUUUUCCAACACAUUUGUAAGAGAUGCCCUGAGCCUUGCCCAGCAUGCAUGUUGUGUGUAUGGUGCCUGUUUGCUGGCUAAUGUACAGCGCCUGCUGGAAGCCUUGGCUAAUGUACAAUGUAAAGUAAGGGACUAGAAACACUGGCUUUAGCUCUGAGUGUCUGCUUCAUGAUUGACUUGAAAAAGUAGGGCUUACCCACAGAGAGAAAGGUGGGUAAGAGAACUCGUGGGUGUCAGUUUUCCUUAAAGGCAGAGCAUAACCCCCCACUCUUUAUAAGGGCUGCUAAGGUGGAGUAUUGGACAGCAGGACUUCUUGGCCAGUUAGCCCUCUUGAGUGACCUUUGUUUAAAUAGACCCAGAACUUGUAUGAAGGAGGAAAUAAUGGUUUAUCUUUAUUUACAGCGGAUUUAGCCACAAUGGUUUAGGCUUUUUCUGGGGGGUAUUCCUUUAGGACAAUUGAGGUUGGACAGGGGCAGCAUGCAUAUGUGUCUCUAAAUGUCUGUCGUUUGGUAUUUCCUGAAUGCAUCCUUGGCUCAUACAGAAACCCUGUGAUGGGGAAUCCACAGCGGAGUUGUUUUCGUGGAUGAAGCCUUCUGUAGCUUCAUGUGUGAAGAUUUGUCAUGUUGGAUCCAGUUCAUUCUGUCCACUUGAAGGAUGGAAAAGAGAGUGGGCAGAACUUGCAGCAAGGAGAGUGAUUUGGGCUAGACUUCUGGGAGAACUGUGCAUCGCCUCUGCUGAGGGUUUCUGAGGAAAGAUGAAGCCUCUUUAUUUGAGGUAGGAGACUAGGUGUCCUCCACAGGAUCCUCCCAGUCCCAAGUCUGUGGCACUUUUUGAGACAGUCCCUGGAACAGCAUGAGGUUUGGGUGCCAGGAUCUAGAGCAGGCAUUUCUCUCCAUCUUUCCCAUCUGCCUUCAAGACAGGCCCAAGCUGGAUGCAAUUGAGGGGAUGCAUGGGCAGGGUACACCAACGUGGGCGUCGAACCUGGAACUUUGACCUUGUCUCCCUUUACAGAGAGAACUUCUGGCACUGAUCUUAUAGGAACUGGUGUUAUUUGCAUAUAAAAUAAGAGAAAGGCAUGUUGUCCCUCAUCUUUUCCAGGAAAGAGCCCUGAGCUGCUCUAAUCCUAUGGUGGGGAGGGAGGAGGGCCGUGUAGAGGAUGCAGGGCCAGACAUGGUUUGCUGGGAAGAAGGUAGGAGGUGGGAGAGGAACAUCCCAGGGCAGGCCCACAACUCUGGGAGCCACAGACAUUGCCUGCUGUGCUAAAGGCAAAGGCAUGUGUUCAAAUGGGCCUACUAUUUAGAGGUAACCCACAGUCUGAAAUAAAUCAGUUAAUGGCUAAAUGAGAGUUGUAUUAAAUAUGGAAAAUCAUAUUUUUUGUGUGUCAUCACCACCUACAGAUUUAGCAUCAACAGGCCUGAAAGGCUGAGGACACUGAAAUGGGCCCUGUCCAUAAGAUCAUGCUUAUUUUAUAAUGACUUUUUGUCUCUUUUCGUUCCUUUUUCCCACUCUUUCUUAUUCCUUAGGUCUACGUGAAUAUUUACUUAUGCAGUUGUGUUAUUUCCUUGGGGUACGGUUCUUCCAGUGUCAUUGGCAUCAAUGAAUAUGUGACUUUGAUUUCAAGUGUAAACAAACCACUGGUUCAGGGCAGGCACGAGCCGUCUCUGAGACAAGGACUCCAGCAGCUGCCUACAGAUGCCCUUCCCCCAAUAGCCCUGGACUGUUUCGGCCAGACGCCUGAGACGAGAGUCAAGGGUGUUCUUGCAGAGACCUGCUCAACCCCAUGUCAUGUGUCCUGCCUGGAGGGUGGUGCUCAUACAUGCAUCUUCCAGCGUUAUUAGCUGAUACUGCUUUUCAGCUUGACCCGAGGAGUGGUAUUAGAAGUUUGAGACCGUACAUCCCUUGCUAGGUGAGAAGGGGGUCAGAGAGGACAGGCACAGACGGAAGAAGGGGAACGCAGGCUCUGGCCACUAGCCUCUCUCAAGACAGGUGAACUUUGUGUUAAGCGAACUCAUUUAAUCUUUUGGGCCUAAUAGAAGUUAUUUGUAUUUUCUCUCCUUCUCUCUUUUCCCUCCUCUCUCUCACUCACCCUCCCCCCACUCCCCAGCCUCCAAAGAAUUUAAUCUGCUGGACAACAAACAAUACUGUUAUAAAACUUUGAAAACAAGAGGGCGCGGCCUCCCUGACGAGGAGAAGGGCAUGCCGGGUAACGGCCUGAGGGAGCGUGCCAGGCCUGAGAUGGAGCCGGGCGAGAGCCCAGUUGGCUGGGUACCUGGGCGCCUGCCCCUGCAUAGCCCACUAGCCACGCCAUCCCCAGGCCAGAGGGGAAGGAACCGAAACAAAAGGAGGGGCAGAGAAACGCUUGAAAAGGGAAGUUGCACAUGUUCCCCUCUCUCUGAUCUGAUGGGAAUGCACUAGACUGUGAAACUUCCUCCUCCACCUCUUCUCCCGAGCUCUUCCCUCCCUCUUACCGUCCUUCCUCCUCUCUCCUCCCUCCUUUCUCCUCCUUCCGCCUCCUCCCUUCUCCUGCCACUCACUGUUCUUGAGCCUGGCAGACAGAGGUCCUGAUAGCAGAAUGAGGCUGGAAUAGCACUGUAGGUGCAGCUACCAGCUGGGCCAGCCAAAGGGGAAGGAGAGAAAGUGGGCUCGCAGUUGGCUUUGGACUCAAAUCUACCCUCUGUCUGGCCCAGCCUCCCCUCCAUUCUAUUAGGGAAGUGGAACCACGUCAUGUCACAGGGUGUGCCCAGUCCAUGUGUGUGGACCAGGUGUGUGCGCAGGUACUGGGGAGAACUGCCACUCGGAGGUUAGUUCAGGAAGCACCCUGGGCUUCCUGGUGCUCCCCUUGGGCUGUGCUCUGCUCUGGGGAGGCUGUUUGACUUGUUGAAAUGCUGUCUCCUUUGAGAUGCUGUGCUCUCCCUCCAGGGAGGAGCAGAGGCUGUGCUGCAAGAGGCUGGGGCGUGUCUCUGGAGGAGCUCUUGGGAACAGGAACGUGCUUCUCCCAGCGAGAGCAGCCAUGUCGUCUUGUGAGUGUGGUGCCUGGUAGGAUACUGCAUCUGUUAGUUACUUCUCGGUGGCUGAAGGAGGUCACCAGCUCUGCCUGGGGGAGGUGGAGAAGCUGGGCUUUGGGGCAUCUCCCUCCCUACCUCCAGAGUUAGAUUUCACCUGAGACUGUGGUUUCGCUUUUGAGUCCAUCUUCACUGAGUCAAGCAGAUGAUUUAGGAAUGACCAGGGAGCAGCACUGGUGGUUUGCCUUUGGAUCUGCAUUGGUUUGGACCCAUGAACUCUGUGGUGGGCAUUGUGUUUGUGUAAUAGACCAUUGGUAUGCUCAUUUUUCCUCUUGCAGAAAGCACUAGCUUCCUUGAAAGCAGUUCAGGGCCAUGCCCAUCGUUCUGUGCCACAGCUGAGCCCUUCUACUGGGGGAACAUGGAGACACUCGAGCUCCAGUCUUCAUUCCACUCCUCCUCCUUCCCUUUGCCCUACACUGUCUCCUGCUGUCCCCCCAGCUCAUCCCAGGGACAGGGUAACCUUGGUGCAUCCUCCCAUCCAGCCAGCAGUCCCGACCCAGGGCCCCUGCGCCUGGACUGAGUCUGGGGUUUAUGUCAGUAGUGUUAAGGGAGGCAUGGAAAACUGAACUUUUAGGAGUGCAGCUGCCUAGGAACAUAGACCUUCAUAUCUCUGACCCAGGGGAAACUGGAAAAACCGAUGCUGGGUCCACGUAGACUUGGAAGGCUGUUAACUUCUUGCCUUGUUACCUGAGUAGCCAUUUGAGGGACACUGUGGGUUUGGAGGAUGUGAUUCCCACACUGGGGCUCAGGGCCUGGGAAAUGCAGUGGUCCCUGGGUUCUGAGUCCUCCUUUGAAGGCCACCCUGCCAGAAAGGAAGAGUCUGAUGGAGGUUUCUGGGGACUUUGGGCCAGCCAGUAACUCCAUGCUCCCUCUGCUCCACCCUUGGCCCCUCAUGUAUAUAUCCUUCCUUUUAUCACCGUUCCCUCUGAUUCACAGCCCCCACCCUGACAGCUAAAGACAGAAUGCCCAGGCUGCUGCCUAGAAUGACAGGAAGUUGGACUGCCCUUUCAGUUUAUACGUGCAAUGGCCUGGAACUGUCUCUUGAGGGCAAGACAUUCCCCUUUUACAAAAGAGCCUUCCCCAGGCCCCUCUCUCACCAAAAUGAGCUCUUCCUUGCUGCCAGGAGCCCUGAAAUCAGCAUUCCCAGAGGAAAGAAGAUGGCCAUCUGGGCUUGGCUUCCGGCUCCCCCCAUCUGGCUGGAACACACAUCAGUCACGUAAGUAGCUGUGACUCAGCACCCAGCACUGCCUUGGCAGAACCUUCCCACGUUCUGGAUUUGCACACACUGUGGUAGCGCAGCACAAGCAAGCAGGGUUAGGUAACUGGGGACCAGUGUCUGUUUGUUCAGUGGGUUUGCUUAUGGAUUUCAGAAACAAGGAUUCCCUCAUCUUCCCAUUUUCCUCCCAUGUUAUUUUUUAGGUACCAUGCUAGGCUUUAAAGACAAAUCAUCAUUUAUAGAAUGAAGUAGAAGCUGCCUUUGCAAUCUCCAAACUAUUUUUAACCAACAGCCUAUAGAUUGUAUUUAACCCUCAGAUGUGUUUGGCCUGCACGGGUUUUUGUUUUUGUUUGAGACAGGGUUUCACUCUGUAGCCCAGGCUGGAGUGCAGUGGCACGAUAUCAGCUUGCACAACCUCUGCCUCUGGGGCUCAAGCAGUUCUCAUGCCUCAGCCUCCUGAGUAGCUGGGACUACAGGUGCGUGCCACCACACCUGGCUAGGGUUAUUUUAAUGUGUCUGAUUUUGCAUGCAUUUAGACAAAAUAUGGCCUCUCCAGUUCACUGUAUUUCUGCUGCAUGCUGUUGCUGCUUCUCUGUCUCAGGUUUCCUGCCCAAGCCCUCUGAGCAUUUGAACGUGCUGUGAGCAGCCUACCUCAGCCUCCUGUCUUUACACAUGAAGACACUGAGGCCCAUUCAGGGCAAGUGGCGGGUCCCUGUUCUCAGAGUUGGGGCCAAGCAGGUAUUAAAACCAUUGUGUUCUGAUUCACUGUGUGCCCAGGCAGAUUAAUGCCCUGGUGUGAGGUCGAGAAGCCUCCAGGUAGAAUAUGGGGACAGAAGUGGACCAGGUUGGAGUAUAGCUCCCACACCUUUUCCCUGCGUGGCAGCACUCACAAGACUGACAAGCCCACCCUUCUGGGUGGGUGAUUUUCCUCCCCAGACAGCCGUGCCAACCCUUUCACCUUCAGCCAGUUUGUUUGGAGUCAUUAGGCUGAGGUGGGUAAAACCCAUCACCCUCCUUGGAUGGCAGAGCUCUCAGCAGGCUGGGAUUUUCAUGGGCUGCCUUCUUACAGGUCUAGGUGGCCUUCGGGCAUGGUGCCAGGGAGAGCAAGCCCCUUCCAGCCCUUACCAAACUAACUGGCUUCUUCCUACUAGGGAACAGCCACCAGCUUGUUUCAGCAAAGAGUCAUUGCUCAGCUGACUCUGAGAGGAGAAAACUGGUUCUGUUGGGAGAGCUGAGACCUGAAGGACCCCUUUUAUCCAGCGGAAUUGGAAAGGCAAAGGAUUUCAAUACUAACAUGAUUUUUUCUCCACUUCUUUUAGAGUGUUUAAUUAAAGUGAUGCAUUGUUAAUGGCUUCUUAUCUCUUCUUCCAGAGAGUUAAGAGUUAAAUUUUAGAAUCCAGGAGUGGGGACCCAGACUCUGGCUUCUGUUAACUCCCUCAGUGGCAGUGGCACCCUGCUGUGCACAGCCCCUCUGCUGUACUCCGAAUGGUCCCUUACGGGUAGCAGGAGAGACAUUAAAUAAUCACACUGAUGACCAAGUGAGAUAAGUGGUUUUUGAAGGAAAGAACUUGAAGCCGGCGAGGACCACUUAACCUUCUAGCAAGGGCAGGACUCAGGGAGGCUUUCCUGAGCUGCGGGGAGGAUGACUGAGGUUCCCUGGAGUGGUGGUGGGUGGGGGCGGGGCUGAGGGGUGGUAGCUAAGGGAGGGUGAAGGAGAGUAUUCCAGAAGAGACAACAGCUUAAGCAGGGCCUUGCCAUAGAGGAAGGUGCUUUCUGAUCACCGCGGGACACCUGUGUGAUAGCUCCUAGGGAGGGUGUUUGUGGAUACUGGUAACUAAAAGUUGACAAGGAAGAGUGGUUAAAAGGAAAAGCAGAAAAGUGAGAAUCUCAUCAAAUCCCCUCAUUUGACAGGAUUUGGACUCCCAGUAGUAACUGUCCUUAAACACUCACUCCAGACCUUACAACCCUGGCUGUUACCUGGUUAACAAGCCCCAGGUGUUGGCUACAGGUGUCAUCACUGAGAGCCCUUGUGUGCAGAUCUGCCCCAGCUCUCCCAAGUGUGGCUGAGGCUAGCGAGUCCCACCGUGGGCCGUAGAGCCUAGCGCUGGUGUCAGAAUUGCUUGUUGUAGGUUCAUCUUCAGCCUCUUUCCCACAGCCACAGCCAUGCUGGGGAAAGACGGCAAAGGCGCUAGAGGAGCAGGAGAACAAAGCAAGCUGCCUUAGACCACCCGGCCUUCGCAGAACCCAGAUCAUGCUCCUGUCUCCCCCUAAGUAUAACGUGUUAUGUAGUCAGUAUGAUCCCAUUCAGUGCAGAAGUAUCGCUUAGGAAUUUCCUGCCCCACCCACCCUGUUUUGUUCUUAAUGAAGUUCCAGAACAAAACGAGAUGAUAGUCAAGUUAUGGAGCAGGCUGCAGUGGGUACAAGGGCAGAAACACAGUCUUUGGAGUUAGACCUGGGAUCUGCAUUUAUUGGUUGUGUGACUGCAGACAAGUUAUUUAGCCUCAUUAAGGAUGAAUUUCUUCGCAAAAAUUGGAAUAAUACCUGCCCCAUACGACUGUUGUGAGAAUUAAAUACCACAACUUUUGAUGUUCAAAUUCUAUUUCUUCUCCUUCUAGCAACACAUACUGUUAGUGCCAGGAACCAUAAAAAUUAUAAGCCUGUAUCUAGAGGCCUGAAAGAAACCUAAAAUAUACAGUUUCUACUCUGUCUCUUUUCUCUUGGUUAUGGUAUCAGAGGAAAUACACAUAUUUUCUUAGCUUCAAACAACCAAAAAAGAUGAUGCAGUAAGGAGAUGGGAAAUCUAAUUUGGAAUACAGUGUGCAAAUCUUACUUUCAAGCAGAUUUUGAAAAUAAAACUCAAUUCUUAUGUUAGAGGAUUAUCUGCGUAAUACAAUUAUAGGGUACCAGUUUUUAAAGUCACAUCAGAAGUUAAGUAAGAUUGCAGAUUGACGGGGUCACAUUUGAAUGUUCUGAUACUUACAUAUGGGGUGGGAAGGAGGAACGCAUGCUCUUCUCAAGUAAGACACAUAGAAGAGUUGUCCUGACCCAGGUGAGACUCACCGUUGUGUAGCUGGAGCUUCAUUCCACAGGCAGAUAGGAUGCUUGUGUCCUGAUGAAGUAAGAGAAUAUAUCUGGAAACACUUUGUAUACUGUGAAAUACUAUACAAAUGCAGGGCAGUACAAAUGUAAAUAUUAAUGUAUUUUAAUAAUAAUUUUAGCUAUUUUAUUUCAUCAUAUAUAAUAAUUUGUAGUGACUGGUGUGAAGUUAAAUAGAGUUAACCUAGAAUUAAUGAGUUUUGUAUUGCUCUCAUCUAUUUGAAGCAUCAGCUGUGCCUUUCAUGUUGCUUUGUGCAGCCCUGUGUAACCUCCUCUGUGCCUUUCCCAUGGAGCACUGUGUCAUAUCACAAGUAGAACUGCAAGAAGAUAUUUCUCCUCAGGGCAGAGGCUGGGUCUUCCGAUUGAAUCUCCCUUCUUUCUUCAUUGAGAUCCUCUUCUUCUGGAAGCUGGUUUCACAUGGUGGCUUAGAUUUUUCCAUCUUUGUAUCUAGCACCAUUUGAAAUCAGUGUUUUAGGAGUAAGAAUUGCAGCACAGCCAAGGGUGGACUGCAGAGGAACUGCUGCUCAUGGGACUGGCUCCUCUCCUCUUGCCACUUGAGUCUGUUCGAGAAGUCCAGGGAAGAACUUGAAGAGCAAAAUACACUCUUGAGUUUGUUGGGUUUGGGGAGAGGUGACAGUAGGGAAGGGGGUUGUGUUUAAAAUAAACACAGUGGCUUGAGCAGGGGCAGAGGUUGUGAUGCUAUUUCUGUUGACUCCUAGCAGCCAUCACCAGCAUGAAUGUGUUGGUAGGGCCUUCGAGUGUGGCGAUUGUCAUAUUCUGUUGGAUAACAAUAUAUUGGGUAUCGAUUGUCAUGGGGCAGGGGAGAGGGGAGUACACCUAGAGGACCAUUUUGUCCACAUCGGCACCGUCAGUCUGCUCUUAGAGGAUGCCCUGGAGUAUUCAGCGUCGAUUGCGGGGCACCCGAAAUCAGACUUGCCACCUGGACUGUCGAGGUGCAGACCUUAGGAGUACCACUGGCCCAUCUCUUACACAGGCUGACCGAUUUCUCCUGGUGUUCAGAGUCUGUUUUUGUCUAGCACCAUUUGAAAUCGGUUAUGAUGUAGGGGGAAAAGCAGCAGCCUCGAAGCCUCAUGCCAAGUCUGGGCAGCAGCAGCCUGUGGUUUCCUGGAAGAUGGAUGGGCAGAGAAAGGGGAAGGAAGAUCAUGCUUUUCCCUACUAACUUCUUUAACUGCAUGUAUGAUACAUUAUUGCAGAGGUAAGAGAUAGUUUAAUGGAUUUUUAAAAACAAAUUACUAUAAUUUAUCUGAUGUUCUCAGUUGCAUUUUGCUGAAAUGUAGUGCUAUUCUAAAUUCUGUAAAUUGAUUGCUGUUGAGUUAUCUUUCUGUUGAGAAGAGUCUAUUCAUGCAUCCUGACCUUAAUAAAUACUAUGUUCAGUUUA
Molecule: RNA transcript, 16861 nt
Organism: Symphalangus syndactylus (siamang)
Lineage: Eukaryota; Metazoa; Chordata; Mammalia; Primates; Hylobatidae
Gene: CD34
Gene name: CD34 molecule
Source: RefSeq, a predicted model, not a curated record